RNAcentral lists this ribosomal RNA (322 nucleotides) under uncultured bacterium. RNAcentral describes it as "bacterial SSU rRNA". It matches the Rfam family "Bacterial small subunit ribosomal RNA", at positions 8 to 334 of the family's 1533-position model. The record is from RNAcentral.
AGAGUUUGAUUAUGGCUCAGGAUGAACGCUGGCGGCGUGCCUAAUACAUGCAAGUCGAACGCUUCACUUCGGUGAAGAGUGGCGAACGGGUGAGUAAUACAUAAGUAACCUGGCAUCUACAGGGGGAUAACUGAUGGAAACGUCAGCUAAGACCGCAUAGGUGUAGAGAUCGCAUGAACUCUAUAUGAAAAGUGCUACGGGACUGGUAGAUGAUGGACUUAUGGCGCAUUAGCUAGUUGGUAGGGUAACGGCCUACCAAGGCGACGAUGCGUAGCCGACCUGAGAGGGUGACCGGCCACACUGGGACUGAGACACGGCCCAG